RNAcentral lists this transfer-messenger RNA (264 nucleotides) under Candidatus Kaiserbacteria bacterium. RNAcentral's name for it is "partial transfer-messenger RNA". It matches the Rfam family "transfer-messenger RNA", at positions 104 to 374 of the family's 374-position model. From Rfam's summary of the family: Bacterial tmRNA, also known as 10Sa RNA or SsrA, is named for its dual tRNA and mRNA-like properties. Its role is to liberate the mRNA from a stalled ribosome. The record is from RNAcentral. Lineage: Bacteria; Candidatus Kaiseribacteriota.
UCACACCCGCUUUUGCGUAAAUAAACGCUCGCCGGUGCGAUGCUCGGAAGUCAAACGCCUCAUACGACUCCCCGGGUAGAAUAGCCAUGAGGCUCGAUAUUCCUACGCCGUUCACGUAGGUACAUCUAAAUUGUACGAACUCGAGGUGAUAGUGUUUAGUUAAUCUUCAAGCUAUCACCCUUAAACUAAAAGGUUAACUACACACUGUAGACUCGCAAUCGCACCCUAAUUCGGACGGGGGUUCAACUCCCCCCAUCUCCACAU